CGCCGUUGAACCCCUCCGUGCAUCGCACCGAGAACGAGUUGGUCGACGUGUUCAAGGUGGUGCAAUUGUGAACCAUAUCGGGCCGACCUGAUGCAGACACACCGGACAUCCCAGCGUGCAAAUUGGUUCUCUUCUUACCUGUAGACCGACGUACCGAGGUCCUCGCGGUACCAGAGCACAAGGUGCACCGAAUCCCCUUCCUGUGUGGUUGAUAUGUCGCAUGGAAGGUACGUGGGAUCACCGACCAGUGCCACGAUGUGCGAUAUCGGGACUGAAACGAAGAAUUAUAAAUGCGAUCCGUGAUACGACAUGCAUCCUGAGGAUUAGAAUUAUACAUCCCAAGGAAUGUAGACGUCUAUAACGAUAAAAACAGGACAUCCCAGCGUACAAAUUGGUUCUCUUCUCACCUGCAGACCGACGUAUCUGUAGAUCCUCACGGUACCAGAGCACAAGGUGAGAAAGAUACAUAGUAGUGACCAAUUACCUCAAUUCUCGGUUUAUAAUUAAGAAAAUUUGCACGGAUACGAGUCACUUGGAAAAA
This is a long non-coding RNA of Apis mellifera (honey bee), 541 nucleotides long. RefSeq lists it as uncharacterized. NCBI's taxonomy places the organism in Eukaryota, Metazoa, Arthropoda, Insecta, Hymenoptera, Apidae. The record is from RefSeq and is a predicted model, not a curated record. The transcript is spliced from 4 exons.